UUUUGAAAAGUCAGAUUUGCA
Non-coding RNA from Caenorhabditis elegans, 21 nucleotides. The record is from Ensembl. Lineage: Eukaryota; Metazoa; Nematoda; Chromadorea; Rhabditida; Rhabditidae.